GAUCCUGGCUCAGGAUGAACGCUGGCGGCGUGCUUAACACAUGCAAGUCGAACGGACUUCAUAUGGAGCCUAGCGAUUAUAAAGUUAGUGGCGGACGGGUGAGUAACGCGUGAAUAACCUGCCCUGUACCGGGGGACAACAGUUGGAAACGACUGCUAAUACCGCAUAAGCGCACGGUUCCACAUGGAACAGUGUGAAAAACUCCGGUGGUACAGGAUGGAUUCGCGUCUGAUUAGCCAGUUGGUGGGG
RNAcentral lists this ribosomal RNA (249 nucleotides) under uncultured bacterium. Its description in RNAcentral is "partial 16S ribosomal RNA". It matches the Rfam family "Bacterial small subunit ribosomal RNA", at positions 15 to 257 of the family's 1533-position model. The record is from RNAcentral.